UACAGAGGGUGCGAACGUUGUUCGGAAUUACUGGGCAUAAAGCGCACGUAGGCGGCACCGUAAGUGUGGAGUGAAAUCCCACGGCUUACCCGUGGAACUGCUUGGCAGACUGCGGUGCUAGAGGAUGGUAGGGGAGAGCGGAACUCCCGGUGGAGCGGUGAAAUGCGUAGAUAUCGAGAGGAACACCUGCGGCGAAGGCGGGUUGCUGGGCUGACACUGACGCUGAAGUGCGAAAGCUAGGGGAGCGAACGGG
Molecule: ribosomal RNA, 253 nt
Filed under: uncultured prokaryote
Description: partial 16S ribosomal RNA
Rfam family: Bacterial small subunit ribosomal RNA
Source: RNAcentral